This 5925-nucleotide long non-coding RNA is filed under the name Heterocephalus glaber (naked mole-rat). RNAcentral's name for it is "lncRNA (ENSHGLG00000045330.1)". The record is from RNAcentral. Lineage: Eukaryota; Metazoa; Chordata; Mammalia; Rodentia; Bathyergidae.
CCCAGAUAAAAAUGGAGAGAGGAAGGGCUUUCCUCAGCUUCUCCACCCAGCUUAGGAGAGUAAUAGCAGCUUGCAAACAACCUGGACUAGUGCGUUGGCUCCAGAGAAGAGGUCAGGAGAUUCGGAAUCUCCAUCAUACAUUUCCAACUUGCAUGCAAAAAUAAUCAGGAACCUAAGCACAGUACCCAGAAUUUGGGGGAACACAGGAGAGAGUGAGCAGUCAGUGAUGAGAGGGGCCGGUGCUGGCCUAUCCUCGGAUUAGGGGACUCUAGUGAAUGGAUGUCUUCGAGUACGUAUCCGAGGAGUGAUUCCACUGUUACCUUUCUGACAAACAACUGAGUAUGCCCUGUGCAUUCAUCCAUAGCACACACUCCCACCUCAGUUCAGAGGUGGCCUGUCCAGUCACACUAAUUUCUUGUCACCAGUCCCAAUCCCAGAAGCUCAGUGGACAAAUUGCUCCCAGGGGGUGACAAACAACUUGGAUAUUUCAAGAAGUUGCCUUAGCUUUGAGGCUGUCUGGAGAGAAUGGAGAGGCUGAACACGUGGGACACAGGAGGCUGGGCCAGCACUGGAGCACCGCAGAUUCCCCGUCCAGCCCUCCCCCAAGGUGUGACCUGUGCGAGAAAUGGAUCCACAGCUGCAGUUUCAAAACCGGCCCUGCCCAAGCUGGUCACCUCCAUUGCAAAAGAGAAGAAAACUCUCCCCAGCCUCCCAAAGACCAAUACUGCCAACACUUUGGAAAUAUUUCUGUCAGGUCAUUUUUCCUGCAUCAAUUUCUGUUUGGUUUUCACAUUGUUCUAAUCAUACUGUGUUUACAACUUUGUAUCCUGUUGCAUUUAACAUCCAGGGUGUAUCUGGAUUUUUUUUCUGCAUGUUAAAUUUAUCCUGGUUAUUAUAAAUGUUCAUUUUCCAUAUGUAGUUAUGUAAAGAGUAUCAUUCCAUUGUUUUUUUUCUUUCUUCACAGCAAACUUUGAAAAUGUUGCUUCCUCCCCAAUUCCUCCUCUCUCUCUUUCAUCCUUCUUUCUCUCUUCCCUUUUCCCUUCCUGCUGCUUACUAGUCCCCCCUUACUGCCUUCUUCCAUCUCUGGAGUCAGGAGCAGGGGCUCUUUCCUUGGUAAGAGACACAGACAGGACAUCUAUAAAGCCACAGGUCCAGGAGUCCUGGGGCACCUGCUUGGCAGAAGGAAAACAUCUGAUGAUAAGUCUCCCAGCUGAUUGGUAACUAACUCCACCCCUGGGCUGGAUGUGAGGGUGUGGAGAGGCAGGUGAGGCUGGGGCAAGGUGUCUCAAGAUGUUACCUAGGGUGUUUAAGAAUAUAGAGUCUCGGGCCUGGGAUUUAGCUCAGUGGUGCCACUGCCUGCCUGGCAAGCGCAAGGUCCCGAGUUUGAUCCCGGGUACCAAAACAAAACAAAACAAGAAUAUAGAGUCUUGGGUCGGGGAUUUAGCUCAGUGCUGCUGCCUGCCUGGCAAGAACAAGGUUCCAAGUUCGAUCCCUGGUACCAAAAAAAAAAAAUAAAUAAAAAUAAAAUAAAUAUAAGAAUAUAGAAUCUCUGAAAAAUGGAAAUAAAACACAUUCCAUUUAGAGUGAAAGAGGGUCUGGUCUGUCAGUAAGCCCUGGCCCAUCGUGGAAAGAGCGUUUCAUUAUCAUAGAGUAUUCACAGUAAUGUUUCAAAAAACCUGUGAGUCCUUCUUUUGCUUGGUGUCAUUAAUGGGCAGGUGUACACAGUCCCCACCUCCGCCACCUACACACUGUCCUUCCUUCUUCUCUGUCUGUCUGUCUCUCUCUCUCCCAACCCAGUGAAAUUUCCAAAGGCAUCUUUGUUCAGUAAUCAUGACAAUCUCCCUUGUCCCAAAUGCUUCCCUGUCCCCAGCCCCUGUGCAUAUAUUUCUCAUCAUGCCACAGGAGGUAGGGACUAUCACGCCUAGAGCAUGCCUUGCUUGUCCCCAGUCACUUGACCAGAUCACACAAAGAAAAAGCAGGAGAGCCUGGAUUGAAACUCAGGUGACUGACCCCCAAAGUCCUUUCCCUGAACCACCACACCCCACUGUGUUACAUUUGUGCUUCACAUUUUCAAAUCAAGAAUGCAGUGCUGGUGGAAAUUAAUUGCAGAGACACUCAUGAUGUUCAAAGCUCUUGCACUGUGAAUGUAGAUGAUGUACCAAGGACUCUGCAUUGUUGAUGAUUCAGAUUUUGGGUGACUGCAUGGAAGAACCUAUCUUUCCCUAAGUUUUCAGGGAGCUGAGGUGGUUCAGCUGCUCUUAUAGAUGUUGAGGCUUUGACUCCAUGACUAAGGGCCUCAGUGGGAAAGGACUGUGUGUUGCACUGGUCUAAUCUAAUUAGGACACUGCUGCCUGUCUCUGAGGACUGGAAGAGUCCACCCUCUCUCAUCCAGUGCCUCUGUUCUGUCUCUUUAUUGGCCUCAGAGCAGGGAGUAUACCAAAUAAAGCACCCCGCCAGGAAGAAGGGGUCACCAGUGUCAGGCUGAAGACCCCUCUGUGCAGCUGCCUGGAGACUCCUGCAUGACCUUCCCUUGGGGAAGCAGCUGGGCCUGGCAUGUACCCACCCACUAGCCACAUGUUUCCUGCCCCAAAUGUCAUUUGACCAUGAUAUAAUGAGCUGUAUAAAAUUAAAAAUGGCUAAAUACCACCUUAUUUACAGUAAUUUUCUACUUUCUGAAGUCAUCCCCAAACCUCUCCUUUACAACACCGACCUCCAGAUCAUGCCAAUUGCAGUGAGAAGCCCAUCAUUACAACCACAGACCACGAGGAAACUAGCACAGGACCUGGAGCUUGCUGGCUCACUGGCUGCUGCUCUGGCCCCAUCAGCCUGUUUUUCCAUCACAUGCUUUUUAGGCAGUAGGGAACUGGGCAGAGGGAACCCUCAGUUCUCUGCCCCCAAACUGGGGACCCUUAAGAAUAUCUCCAAGUAAGCAGCUGGGUUCAGAGGAACGUGUACAUCCACUUGCCGGAGUUGGAGUUGGGAUUUGGGCUUCUGCAAUCUGCACUUGGGCCUUACAAAGUGUGAGUCUUAUUUGUAGGUGGCUCUUGAGUCAUUGUUGUGUCUUAAUCUGUGUGGACAGUCUUGCAGCACCCUCCUUCUUCCUAAGGCUAUCUGUUAUGGACUGGAUUGUGUACCUCUUCCAGCCUCCAAUUCAUUUGUUGAAGCCAUAAUGUGGCUCAGAAUGUGACUAUAUCUUUACCAAGGGCCUUUAAGGAAUUCAUAAGUUAAAUAAGAUCACAUGGAUGGGCCUUCAUUAGAUAGGACCGGUGUCCUUAGCAGAAGAGGAGGAAACACUGGAGCUUGCUCUCCUCAUGCUCACAGAGAGAAAGAGGGCCCUGCCAACACCUUGACCUGGGAUUUCCAACCUCCAGACCUGAGAGAAAAAAAAUUCUGUUGCUUAAUCUACUUGGUCUGUGGUAUUUGAUUAUGGCAACCUUAGAAAAUGAAUAUAUCGUCUGUGUGAUUUCUUAUAUGAUAAGGUCUUACAAUGAAACAUAAAUGAAUUGAUGACUAUUUCUAUAAGGAAACUGAUAAGAACCCUUGAGUUAUCAUGGGAAGAGUUAAAUUCUCCAUGCUUGAGCUAGUUUAGCCAGUUCUUUCUUAUUGGCAAAAAUUCUACAGUUGAAAUUAUUUAAGACAUUAACUAAAACAAUCUUAAGUCUCUCUAUUUCCUGCUCUUUCUGUUCCCGUUACUUUUUUUUUUUUUUUUUUGAGAUAGGAUCUUACUCUGUAGCUCAGGCUGGCCUUGAACUUUCUAUCCUCUUGCCUCAGCCUCCUGAGUGCUGGGAUUACAGGUGUGUAACGACCACAUUUGGCAUCCCACUACUCUUAAUCACUCUCAUUCCUCCUCCUCUAGUCCAACCCUUGGCAAGUCAGGGCAUUGGCCUGUUGACAUUGAGCACUCUUCCAGGCCACCUCUGUGUUAGGCACUGGAGGUAUAGGAAUGAAGGAAGCAGAUCAUGGCCCUUGCUCUUACAUGGCUUCUGUUGAAGUAGGGGAAAGCAGAAAUCAAAAUAAACAAGGAAUGUAUCUGAGAGUGAAAAGCUAGUGAGUAAUUCAAACCACAGCAGUGUGAUAGUGGCUGAGAGCCUGCUGAGAUGGGGCAAAGAGAAACCUGUCCUGUCCACCCUUUCAGAAACAUUUUUCACCUUGCCUCUGUUGCCACCCCCACCACAUGAACCCAUGUGCCUUGGCUGGGUUCCUGCCAAAGCUUUCUGACUGGUGGUCUAUCUGCCACCUCGUUGGCCUUACUGUAAUCUACUUUCCAUAUAGCAGUUAGUGGAUUAUUUUAAAAAUGCAGCCAGUUCUCAUUAUUCACAAUAGUCAUGCUCUAUAAAGUCAACUCAAACACUGAAUUAGGGAAUGUGGAAACAUUGCUCCUGGGGGGAAUGCAGGGCUGGCUUCCUUCAAGCCUCUGGCCACAACACUCCUCCACCCAUCACUAUAUGACCUUGUUUUAUGUGAGUUUCUGUGUAGACACCUUGUUUAAUCCAUAUUUCUGACUCACUAACAUUGAACUCUCAGCCAGUUGCACCACAGCAGCCUGCAUGGAGCUUCUCUACCACGUGUACACUCUUCAUGAGGCCCAGUUAGCCUUCCUGCACUCCUGACAUAGACAGUGCUGCUGUUCCGAGGGAAUGUGGGCCCGAGGAGUGAGCAUUUGAGAAAGCAAAACCAAUGAAAGAAAGACAAGAAGUGCAAAGAAAGAAGAAAAAAGGCACUGAAGACAUUGUUUACAUUCUGAGAGUGGAAACAAGGCAGAGUGUCUCCCUGUCCGACCUUAGCUGGGAGCCCACAGAUCGGGUGACUCACUUUCACUUUGCUCCUGUCUGUGAAUGACUUCAGACUUGCUGCCCAGAGUUGAUUUAGGGUUACACACAUGUAUGCGCGCUUGUGUGUGCACGUGCACACACACACAUAUACACAAGCACACACGCAAAUAUGGUUUUCAAGAGUCUCAUCCAAAAUUCGGGGGUUGCUAAUGUGAUGGUUCUAAGAGGUAGGGCCUUUGAGGAGCAAUGAGGCCAUGAGGCUCCUCAUCUCUGAGUGGGAGGACCCAGAGACAUGGGCCAUCUUGGAAGCAGAGAGCGGCCCUUGCUAUGGUGUGCACCAAACCUGCUGGUGCCUUGGUCUUGGACUUCUCAGUUUCUAGAAGUGUGAGAAAUAAAUUCUAUUUUUUUAUAAAUUACCCAGUUUCAGGCCUUUUGUUAUAGCAACACAAAGACACGUGCUCACACUGCACAUACACACUGCCUCCUUGUUUUUUCUUCCCCAUUUUUCUUUCUCAAUUUGAUCAUUACGGCAGGAACAUUUCUCUUUAUUCCAUUGGUGAGCUACAAGUGCCAUGUAGGAGUUGAUGUUCAGAGGGAUAACAGACUCAGUGCCUCAAACCUUCAAUAUUUGUUAAGUAAAUGACUGAAUGCUUUAGGAAAAGUCCUUGAGUUAGGAACUAUUUCUUUACACUGAAAUCCUCAGUUCUAGUCAAUGUCUAGCUGUGGAUAGCUAAGUUUGAUAAGUGACUGAAUGAAGAAUAGAAUGACAUGUUUUAAACACUAAACUAAAGUAGAAGAACAGUGCUUAGUGACUCUGAAGUUUUUGAAAAGUAUCUAGAUAUUCUCUUCAGAACUUCACAAAAUUAUUUGUCAAUUUCUUCAUCUAUAUUUAGACUUACUUUACUUUGUUUUUUUAAAAAAAUUACUUCUUCAAUAUUGUUUUUUAGUCUUCUGACUUUAAAAAGAUUACUCAAUUUUAUUGAUUGCCAAUAAGAAUAUUUCAGCUCUGCAGUGAUUUAAAAAGAUUUUUAUAGAUGGAGAACUUAAUCUUUAUCUAUUUAUGAUUAUGUUCAUGAGAAAAAUAGAUUCCAAGGCCCAAAAAUUACACCUUACCUAUUGAUUUCUGAAAAUGUAAUUCAUUUCAUAAUGUGGG